RNAcentral lists this ribosomal RNA (615 nucleotides) under Triticum aestivum (bread wheat). RNAcentral describes it as "partial small subunit ribosomal RNA". Lineage: Eukaryota; Viridiplantae; Streptophyta; Magnoliopsida; Poales; Poaceae. The record is from RNAcentral.
AUGAAGAUGAAGAGAUGCAUCCUGCUGAUGCUCGCACUUGAGGCCGCCGUCCUCGUCGCCGGCCGCCCCUCCGCUGUUGCCGUCUCCAACGACGUGGGCACCAUUCUCAUGCCGACCGAAGGCAAAGGGCUUGCAGGGCAAGUGGGAACGGCGGCGGCUUCCAGGCCAUGGGAUUGCUGCGACAACACCAUAUGCACCAGGUCCUUGCCGCCAAUCUGCAUCUGUCUGGACGAGGUCGACGAGUGCGCCUCCACCUGCAUGGCCUGCGUGCCGUCCGUCUCAAACCCAUUCCGCCGCGUCUGCGGAGACCGGUACUACGGCGACCCCGGGCCCAAGUGCACCUACAACACCGUCGCCGGCGACAACAACGACGACGCCCUCGUAGCGGCGGCGGCAGAGGAGGAGAAGCCGUGGGAGUGCUGUGACAUGGCUCUGUGCACCAGGUCAUACCCGCCGAUGUGCCGCUGCGUGGACGAGGUCGAGCAGUGCGCUGCAACCUGCAAGAGCUGCGGGGUGUCCAUCUUGAACCCGUUCCGCCACGUCUGCAACGACUGGUACAACGGCUUCCCAGGUCGCAAGUGCACCGAGGCCGCCCACGCCGGCGGUAAUAACUAG